GUUCAGCUGACGAGUUCCAAGUAGGACGAAAUGGCGCUCGUCCUGGAU
Molecule: non-coding RNA, 48 nt
Organism: Schistosoma margrebowiei
Lineage: Eukaryota; Metazoa; Platyhelminthes; Trematoda; Strigeidida; Schistosomatidae
Source: Rfam